RNAcentral lists this ribosomal RNA (217 nucleotides) under Dehalococcoidia bacterium. RNAcentral's name for it is "partial 16S ribosomal RNA". It matches the Rfam family "Bacterial small subunit ribosomal RNA", at positions 1331 to 1533 of the family's 1533-position model. The record is from RNAcentral. Lineage: Bacteria; Bacillati; Chloroflexota; Dehalococcoidia.
GUUGCUAGUAACCGUAGGUCAGCACACUACGGUGAAUACGUUCUCGGGUCUUGUACACACCGCCCGUCAAGUCAUGGAAGUCGGUAACACUCGAAGUCGCUGGGCCAACCCUUUGGGAGGCAGGUGCCGAGAGUGGGACUGGUGACUGGGACUAAGUCGUAACAAGGUAGCUGUAGCGGAAGCUGCGGCUGGAUCACCUCCUUUUAAGGGAGCAUGG